AAAGGUUUAGUUAAAUAAUAACAAUAAUUUGUCAAAUUAUAAUUACUCUGCAGUAACCUUUA
This 62-nucleotide transfer RNA is filed under the name Serrognathus castanicolor. RNAcentral's name for it is "tRNA-Asp". Lineage: Eukaryota; Metazoa; Arthropoda; Insecta; Coleoptera; Lucanidae. The record is from RNAcentral.